This 456-nucleotide ribosomal RNA is filed under the name uncultured bacterium. RNAcentral describes it as "bacterial SSU rRNA". It matches the Rfam family "Bacterial small subunit ribosomal RNA", at positions 29 to 524 of the family's 1533-position model. The record is from RNAcentral.
AGCGAACGCUAGCGGCGGGCCUAACACAUGCAAGUCGAGCGCAUACCUUCGGGUAUGAGCGGCGGACGGGUGAGUAACGCGUAGGUCAUCUACCCUUUGGUGGGGGAUAACCCAGGGAAACUUGGGCUAAUACCGCACGAGGUCUACGGAUCAAAGCCUUCGGGCGCCAGAGGAUGAGCCUGCGUCGCAUUACCUAGUUGGCGGGGUAACGGCCCACCAAGGGGACGAUGCGUAGCUGGUCUGAGAGGAUGAUCAGCCACACUGGGACUGAGACACGGCCCAGACUCCUACGGGAGGCAGCAGUGGGGAAUAUUGCGCAAUGGGGGAAACCCUGACGCAGCCACGCCGCGUGGGUGAUGAAGGCCUUCGGUUGUAAAGCCCUGUCGGGAGGGACGAAUUCUUGACGGUACCUCCAAAGAAAGCACCGGCUAACUCCGUGCCAGCAGCCGCGGUAAU